AACGAACGCUGGCGGCGUGGAUAAGACAUGCAAGUCGAACGGGAUUUUUUUCUGUAGCAAUACAGAGAAAAGUCUAGUGGCGAACGGGUGCGUAACACGUGAGCAACCUGCCGUGAAGUGGGGGAUAGCUCGCCGAAAGGCGAAUUAAUACCGCAUGUGGCCAAGGAAGACAUCUUCCUGACGCCAAGCCGGGGCAACCUGGCGCUUCUCGAGGGGCUCGCGGCCUAUCAGCUUGUUGGUGAGGUAACGGCUCACCAAGGCUAUGACGGGUAGCUGGUCUGAGAGGACGACCAGCCACACUGGAACUGCGACACGGUCCAGACACCUACGGGUGGCAGCAGUCGAGGAUUUUUCACAAUGGGGGAAACCCUGAUGGAGCGACGCCGCGUGGAGGAUGAAGGUUUUCGGAUUGUAAACUCCUGUCAUUAGAGAACAAGGCACACGGUUUAACUGGCCGUGUGUUGAUAGUAUCUGAAGAGGAAGAGACGGCUAACUCUGUGCCAGCCGCCGCCGUAA
Molecule: ribosomal RNA, 516 nt
Filed under: uncultured bacterium
Lineage: Bacteria
Description: partial 16S ribosomal RNA
Rfam family: Bacterial small subunit ribosomal RNA
Source: RNAcentral